Molecule: ribosomal RNA, 516 nt
Filed under: uncultured bacterium
Lineage: Bacteria
Description: bacterial SSU rRNA
Rfam family: Bacterial small subunit ribosomal RNA
Source: RNAcentral
GAGUUUGAUCUUGGCUCAGAUUGAACGCUGGCGGCAGGCCUAACACAUGCAAGUCGAGCGGUAGAGAGAAGCUUGCUUCUCUUGAGAGCGGCGGACGGGUGAGUAAUGCCUAGGAAUCUGCCUGGUAGUGGGGGAUAACGCUCGGAAACGGACGCUAAUACCGCAUACGUCCUACGGGAGAAAGCAGGGGGACCUUCGGGCCUUGCGCUAUCAGAUGAGCCUAGGUCGGAUUAGCUAGUUGGUGAGGUAAUGGCUCACCAAGGCGACGAUCCGUAACUGGUCUGAGAGGAUGAUCAGUCACACUGGAACUGAGACACGGUCCAGACUCCGUACGGGAGGCAGCAGUGGGGGAAUAUUGGACAAUGGGCGAAAGCCUGAUCCAGCCAUGCCGCGUGUGUGAAGAAGGUCUUCGGAUUGUAAAGCACUUUAAGUUGGGAGGAAGGGCAGUAAAUUAAUACUUUGCUGUUUUGACGUUACCGACAGAAUAAGCACCGGCUAACUCUGUGCCAGCCGCCG